UCCACCAGGUUGAUUCUGCCUGACGGGGAAGCUAGUUUCACAGAUUCAGCCAUGCAAGUAGUAUGUAUGUAUACACAAGGCUCAGUAUCGAGUAUAGCUUUGCUCUCCAAGAUGUGAUACUUUCAGGAAACAGAAAAUAAAGCAUCUAUCUUCUAGAGUAUUUUAGAGGAGAGGAGAAGAAGCGACUCACCUAUCAGUUAGUAGGUAUGGUAAGGGCAUACCUAGACGAAGACGGGUACGGGGAAGGCAACUUCGAUUCCGGAGAGGGCGCAUUUAGAGAUGGCGACCAGUUCUAAGGAGUGCAGCAGGCUCGAAACUUACCGAAUUAUAGAUUAGAGGUAGUGAUGAAACGUUUAUAUAGAAAUACUUGGUAAAGCAAGUAUUAACAACUGGAGGGUAAGUCUGGUGCCAGCAGCCGCGGUAAUACCAGCUCCAGGAGCUUCUUCGAUAUGUUGCGGUUAAAACGUCCGUAGUCGCGGCUUGGGACUGACCUGUAAUCUAUUUGGUCAACAGAUAGAUAGGGGCAGUAGCAAGCUGGAAAAGAGCAAUUUGGUGUCAGCUAAUGGUAUGGGGAGGGGUGAAGUCUGAGGAUCCAUGCAGGAGGAGCAAAGGCGAAAGCACUGACAAAGAUUGAUUCUGUUGAUCAAGGACAGAGGCUAGAGGAUCGAAUACGAUUAGAUACCGUAGUAGUUCUAGCAGUGACCGAUGAUGAUUUUGCUUAUGGCAAUAGAGAAAUCAAAAUAGAUCUCCGGGGGGAGUACAUGCGCAAGCAAGAAACUUAAAGAAAUUGACGGAAGACUACCACAAGGUGUGGAUUGUUCGGCUUAAUUUGACUCAACGCGGGAAAACUUACCAAGCUUAUUUGUUCAACGAGUAUUUAUAUUAGAGCAAAAUGGUGGUGCAUGGCCGUUCCUAACAGAUGGAGUGAUUUUGUGAUUAACUUCCAUAAUCUGUGUAAUCUCAGAAUAGCUUGUUCGAAAGAACAAUUCGAGGCAAGAACAGGUCAGUGAUGUCCUUUGAUAGCUUGGGCCGCACGCGCAAUACAAUGUUUUAUGUAGUAAGAUAUAGAUAAAAAAUAGAACAUGAGGGAUUGAGGGCUGAAAAGCACUCAUGAACACGGAAUAGCUAGUAAUCGUCAGUUCAAUAUACGGCGAUGAAUAUGUCCCUGUUCUUUGUACACACCGCCCGUCGUUAUCGAAGAUGGAGUGAUUUUUGAGUCAAUUAUAAUUGGCGAAUGAGUCAUUCUAAAUCCGGUACAAGUCGUAACAAGGUAACCAA
RNAcentral lists this ribosomal RNA (1278 nucleotides) under Nadelspora canceri. Its description in RNAcentral is "SSU rRNA". It matches the Rfam family "Microsporidia small subunit ribosomal RNA". The record is from RNAcentral. Lineage: Eukaryota; Fungi; Microsporidia; Nadelsporidae.